Molecule: ribosomal RNA, 440 nt
Filed under: uncultured bacterium
Lineage: Bacteria
Description: partial 16S ribosomal RNA
Rfam family: Bacterial small subunit ribosomal RNA
Source: RNAcentral
CCUACGGGAGGCAGCAGUGGGGAAUUUUGCGCAAUGCACGAAAGACUGAUGCAGCGACGCCGCGUGAAUGACGAAGGCCUUCGGGAUGUAAAGCUCUAUCGACAGGGAAGAAAAUGCCAAUACGUAACCAGGUAGGUACGGCCAACUUCGGUACAGCAGCCGCGGUAAUACGGAGGGGGCGAGCGUACUCCGGAUUUACUGGGUGUAAAGGGGGCGUAGACGGUUGUGUAAGUCGGUAGUGAAAGCCUGGGGCUCAACCUUAGGAUUGCUGUUGAAACUGUGUGACUGGAGUACAGGAGGGGUAGGCGGAAUUCCUGGUGUAGCGGUGAAAUGCGUAGAUAUCAGGAGGAACACCGUUGGCGAAGGCGGCCUGCUGGACUGAAACUGACGCUGAGGCUCGAAAGCGUGGGUAGCAAACAGGAUUAGAUACCCGAGUAGUC